GAGGGUAUAGCUCAGUGGUAGAGUGCAUGUUUAGCAUGCAUGAGGUCCUGGGCUCAAUCCCCAGGACCUCU
This 71-nucleotide transfer RNA is filed under the name Camelus bactrianus (Bactrian camel). It matches the Rfam family "tRNA". From Rfam's summary of the family: Transfer RNA (tRNA) molecules are approximately 80 nucleotides in length. Their secondary structure includes four short double-helical elements and three loops (D, anti-codon, and T loops). Lineage: Eukaryota; Metazoa; Chordata; Mammalia; Artiodactyla; Camelidae. The record is from Rfam by way of RNAcentral. RNAcentral also lists the same sequence under 2 other names.